CGCUAGCUACAGGCUUAACACAUGCAAGUCGAGGGGCAUCAGGAAGAAAGCUUGCUUUCUUUGCUGGCGACCGGCGCACGGGUGAGUAACACGUAUCCAACCUGCCCUUUACUCGGGGAUAGCCUUUCGAAAGAAAGAUUAAUACCCGAUAGCAUAAUGAUUCCGCAUGGUUUCAUUAUUAAAGGAUUCCGGUAAAGGAUGGGGAUGCGUUCCAUUAGGUUGUUGGUGAGGUAACGGCCCACCAAGCCUUCGAUGGAUAGGGGUUCUGAGAGGAAGGUCCCCCACAUUGGAACUGAGACACGGUCCAAACUCCUACGGGAGGCAGCAGUGAGGAAUAUUGGUCAAUGGGCGCUAGCCUGAACCAGCCAAGUAGCGUGAAGGAUGAAGGCUCUAUGGGUCGUAAACUUCUUUUAUAUAAGAAUAAAGUGCAGUAUGUAUACUGUUUUGUAUGUAUUAUAUGAAUAAGGAUCGGCUAACUCCGUGCCAGCAGCCGCGGUAAUACGGAGGAUCCGAGCGUUAUCCGGAUUUAUUGGGUUUAAAGGGAGCGUAGGUGGACUGGUAAGUCAGUUGUGAAAGUUUGCGGCUCAACCGUAAAAUUGCAGUUGAUACUGUCAGUCUUGAGUACAGUAGAGGUGGGCGGAAUUCGUGGUGUAGCGGUGAAAUGCUUAGAUAUCACGAAGAACUCCGAUUGCGAAGGCAGCUCACUGGACUGCAACUGACACUGAUGCUCGAAAGUGUGGGUAUCAAACAGGAUUAGAUACCCUGGUAGUCCACACAGUAAACGAUGAAUACUCGCUGUUUGCGAUAUACAGUAAGCGGCCAAGCGAAAGCAUUAAGUAUUCCACCUGGGGAGUACGCCGGCAACGGUGAAACUCAAAGGAGUUGACGGGGGCCCGCACAAGCGGAGGAACAUGUGGUUUAAUUCGAUGAUACGCGAGGAACCUUACCCGGGCUUAAAUUGCAGUGGAAUGAUGUGGAAACAUGUCAGUGAGCAAUCACCGCUGUGAAGGUGCUGCAUGGUUGUCGUCAGCUCGUGCCGUGAGGUGUCGGCUUAAGUGCCAUAACGAGCGCAACCCUUAUCUUCAGUUACUAACAGGUUAUGCUGAGGACUCUGGAGAGACUGCCGUCGUAAGAUGUGAGGAAGGUGGGGAUGACGUCAAAUCAGCACGGCCCUUACGUCCGGGGCUACACACGUGUUACAAUGGGGGGUACAGAAGGCAGCUACCUGGUGACAGGAUGCUAAUCCCAAAAGCCUCUCUCAGUUCGGAUCGAAGUCUGCAACCCGACUUCGUGAAGCUGGAUUCGCUAGUAAUCGCGCAUCAGCCGCGGCGCGGUGAAUACGUUCCCGGGCCUUGUACACACCGCCCGUCAAGCCAUGGGAGCCGGGGGUACCUGAAGUACGUAACCGCAAGGAUCGUCCUAGGGUAAAACUGGAA
This 1436-nucleotide ribosomal RNA is filed under the name uncultured organism. RNAcentral's name for it is "SSU rRNA". It matches the Rfam family "Bacterial small subunit ribosomal RNA". The record is from RNAcentral.